Molecule: ribosomal RNA, 468 nt
Filed under: uncultured bacterium
Lineage: Bacteria
Description: partial 16S ribosomal RNA
Rfam family: Bacterial small subunit ribosomal RNA
Source: RNAcentral
GAUGAACGCUGGCGGCGUGCUUAACACAUGCAAGUCGAACGGAAAGGCCGAAGCUUGCUUCGGUACUCGAGUGGCGAACGGGUGAGUAACACGUGGGUGAUCUGCCCUGUACUUCGGGAUAAGCUUGGGAAACUGGGUCUAAUACCGGAUAUGACGAUCUCUUGGAUGGGGUUGUGGAAAGCUUUUGCGGUAUGGGAUGAGCUCGCGGCCUAUCAGCUUGUUGGUGGGGUAAUGGCCUACCAAGGCGUCGACGGGUAGCCGGCCUGAGAGGGUGUACGGCCACAUUGGGACUGAGAUACGGCCCAGACUCCUACGGGAGGCAGCAGUGGGGAAUAUUGCACAAUGGGCGCAAGCCUGAUGCAGCGACGCCGCGUGGGGGAUGACGGCCUUCGGGUUGUAAACUCCUUUCGCAAUCGACGAAGCCUUUUGGUGACGGUAGAUUGAGAAGAAGCACCGGCUAACUACGUG